UACAGAGGGGGCAAGCGUUGUUCGGAAUUACUGGGCGUAAAGGGCGCGUAGGCGGCCUGCUAAGUCACACGUGAAAUCCCUCGGCUCAACCGGGGAACUGCGUGUGAUACUGGCGGGCUUGAAUUCGGGAGAGGGAUGUGGAAUUCCAGGUGUAGCGGUGAAAUGCGUAGAUAUCUGGAGGAACACCGGUGGCGAAGGCGGCAUCCUGGACCGAGAUUGACGCUGAGGCGCGAAAGCUAGGGUAGCAAACGGG
RNAcentral lists this ribosomal RNA (253 nucleotides) under uncultured bacterium. Its description in RNAcentral is "partial 16S ribosomal RNA". It matches the Rfam family "Bacterial small subunit ribosomal RNA", at positions 524 to 776 of the family's 1533-position model. The record is from RNAcentral.